GUAGGUGAACCUGCGGAAGGAUCAUUAAAAAUGAAGCCGGGAAACCGGUCCUUCUAACCCUUGAUUAUCAUAAUUUGUUGCUUUGGUGGGCCGCGUAAGCACUGGCUCCGGCUGGUUAGUGCCCACCAGAGAACCACAACUCUGUAAUAAAUGUCGUCUGAGUACUAUAUUUUAAUAGUUAAAACUUUCAACAACGGAUCUCUUGGUUCUG
RNAcentral lists this unclassified non-coding RNA (211 nucleotides) under rhizosphere metagenome. Its description in RNAcentral is "partial ribosomal RNA internal transcribed spacer region". The record is from RNAcentral.